This is an RNA transcript of Vitis riparia (riverbank grape), 1370 nucleotides long. RefSeq lists it as uncharacterized. The transcript has 4 exons. The record is from RefSeq and is a predicted model, not a curated record. NCBI's taxonomy places the organism in Eukaryota, Viridiplantae, Streptophyta, Magnoliopsida, Vitales, Vitaceae.
CUCUCCAACGAGUCGAAAACAGAAGAUUGAUACGACGCCGUUUAGCAGACGAAGACUGAAAUGGACGAGGAGCCCAUGUCCGAUUUCGGACCCUACGGGAGAUUGGUAGAAGACGGCCCCCACGAUGGUGGGCCCCAAGUGCACCAAGAUUCUGUGCCUCCAAAACCUACCAGUUCCAGAUACUCCUGCUGGUGGUCCAAUAUCGCUCCGCUCCUCACUUUCGUCGCCCUUUUGCUCUUCCUCGUCAUCAAAUGGUCUGCCCUCGUGUCCUUUUCCAAGAUUGCUUUGAAAAUUUCAAGGAUAUAUGUAAGUACUUCUUUGCAAGAUACAUUCUUGAAUACCUGCAUCUAUCGAGAGGAUUCAAGAGAUAUAAGUAAACUGCUUCAAACAUGUUCCUUCGUUCGUGUCCAGGAAGCAAUAGCCAUUCAUUACACCUUGGAUCCAUUAUCGUCCUGAUCCCUAUCUCGUUUGCAGAAUGUAAACCCACUUAUCAAAUGGCUUGCGGUAAAUUUCAGUCCUUUAGAGCUAGCAGCGGCGAUAUUUGCUUCUUUGGCAUUGUUCCCUGCUGCUCUUCUGGAAUCUACGCCAUCCUUGUGGAUUGCAGGAAUUGUUUUUGGGUAUGAGCUGGGGUUCCUAAUAAUCAUACCUGGGAUAGCUGUGGGCGUGACAUUACCAUAUUUCAUUGCUUAUCCCUUCCGCUCUAAGAUCCAAAGAUUGGGGUUUAGAAUUCCAAAAGACGCUUCCAUUGUAAGACUAGCCUUCCAAGGAAAUUGGUUUCAACAGUUUUGUACGGUUGUCUUCAUUAGAAUUUCACCAUUUCCAUAUUGAAUGUUCAACUAUAUUGCAAGUGCCACCAACAUCAAGUACAGUGCUUACCUGGUAGGGUCAUUAGUCGGAGUGGUGCCUGAUAUUUUUGCUGCAAUCUACAGUGGGAUUUUGAUGAGGAACUUGGCAGAUGGGACAAAGGAUCAGCACCCCAUUUCACUGUUGCAGAUCAUCAUCGAUAGUAUUGGGUUCUGCUCAAGCUAUACUGCUAUGCUGAUCAUUGGAAGGCAAAUCAAAAGGCUAGAGGAUGGAGAGGUUAAACAACUAAAAGAGGCAGAGGUACAACAGGCAGAGACACAAAGGGAAGAGGAUCCAGCACAAUAGAUAUAGAACUCACUAGGUUCAGUUUUUACCUACACCCGGUUCAUGGUACUUAGGGCUGAUCAGCCAAGCAAGUGCCAUGUCUAACAGGACAGGCAUAUCAUUCAUCUGGAUAGUAAACAUAUGUCUAUAGGUGACAAACACACAUGUAUCGUGUUUUGGAUGGAGAUAACAAGGAGAUCAUAUAGCAAUAAAAACCUUGUCCAGCAACUGGAUUUACAAUA